CAGUAGCCACGGGAAUACGAGGGGUGCAAGCGUUAUUCGGAUUUACUGGGCGUAAAGCGCACGUAGGCGGAUUCUUAAGUCAGAGGUGAAAUCCCAAGGCUCAACCUUGGAACUGCCUUUGAUACUGGGGAUCUUGAGUUCGGGAGAGGUGAGUGGAACUGCGAGUGUAGAGGUGAAAUUCGUAGAUAUUCGCAAGAACACCAGUGGCGAAGGCGGCUCACUGGCCCGAUACUGACGCUGAGGUGCGAAAGCGUGGGGAGCAAACAGGAUUAGAGACCCCAGUAGUCCCUGUCUCUUAUAC
This 301-nucleotide ribosomal RNA is filed under the name uncultured bacterium. RNAcentral describes it as "partial 16S ribosomal RNA". It matches the Rfam family "Bacterial small subunit ribosomal RNA", at positions 509 to 807 of the family's 1533-position model. The record is from RNAcentral.